RNAcentral lists this unclassified non-coding RNA (231 nucleotides) under uncultured fungus. RNAcentral's name for it is "sequence contains ITS1, 5.8S rRNA gene". The stretch from base 183 to 231 matches the Rfam family "5.8S ribosomal RNA", at positions 1 to 49 of the family's 154-position model. Lineage: Eukaryota; Fungi. The record is from RNAcentral.
UCUCCGUAGGUGAACCUGCGGAGGGAUCAUUACCGAGUGAGGGCCCCCGGCCCGACCUCCAACCCUUUGUGUUUCUGACUGUGUUGCCUCGGGGGCGACCCUGCCGGCACUCUGUCGCCGGGCGCCCCCGAAGGUCUCCAAACACUGCAUCUUUGCGUCGGAGUUUAAAACAAAUUAAACAAAACUUUCAACAACGGAUCUCUUGGUUCUGGCAUCGAUGAAGAACGCAGC